AUUGAACGCUGGCGGCAGGCCUAACACAUGCAAGUCGAGCGGUAGCACAGAGAGCUUGCUCUCGGGUGACGAGCGGCGGACGGGUGAGUAAUGUCUGGGAAACUGCCUGAUGGAGGGGGAUAACUACUGGAAACGGUAGCUAAUACCGCAUAACGUCGCAAGACCAAAGUGGGGGACCUUCGGGCCUCAUGCCAUCAGAUGUGCCCAGAUGGGAUUAGCUAGUAGGUGGGGUAACGGCUCACCUAGGCGACGAUCCCUAGCUGGUCUGAGAGGAUGACCAGCCACGCUCGAACUGAGAAGCGGUCCAGACUCCUACGGGAGGCAGCAGUGGGGAAUAUUGCACAAUGGGCGCAAGCCUGAUGCAGCCAUGCCGCGUGUGUGAAGAAGGGCAUCGGGUUGUAAAGCACUUUCAGCGGGGAGGAAGGCGGUGAGGUUAAUAACCUCAUCGAUUGACGUUACCCGUAGAAGAAGCACCGGCUAACUCCGUGCCAGCCGCCGCGGUAA
Molecule: ribosomal RNA, 504 nt
Filed under: uncultured bacterium
Lineage: Bacteria
Description: partial 16S ribosomal RNA
Rfam family: Bacterial small subunit ribosomal RNA
Source: RNAcentral